Molecule: small nucleolar RNA, 132 nt
Organism: Cynocephalus volans (Philippine flying lemur)
Lineage: Eukaryota; Metazoa; Chordata; Mammalia; Dermoptera; Cynocephalidae
Source: RefSeq, a predicted model, not a curated record
GUGCACACUUGAUCGCUGGCUGUGCGUGAUGUGGCAGAAGUGAAGGGAACCAGGUUUGCUAAAGUAAUUGUAGUGAUAGCAAUGUGUUAGCCUCAGAAGCUACUGAGUGGCCCAUUCUAUCCUUGUACAGUG